ACACGACUACAUUAGAUACCCGUGUAGUCCUAGCCGUAAACGNUACUCGCUAGGUGUCGGCCACGGUGCGACCGUUGUCGGUGCCGUAGGGAAGCCGUGAAGCGAGCCACCUGGGAAGUACGGCCGCAAGGCUGAAACUUAAAGGAAUUGGCGGGGGAGCACAACAACGGGUGGAGCUUGCGGUUUAAUUGGAUUCAACGCCGGAAAUCUUACCGGGACCGACAGCAACAUGAAGGCCAGGCUGAAGACUUUGCCGGAUUAGCUG
This 265-nucleotide ribosomal RNA is filed under the name uncultured archaeon. Its description in RNAcentral is "partial 16S ribosomal RNA". It matches the Rfam family "Archaeal small subunit ribosomal RNA", at positions 719 to 982 of the family's 1478-position model. The record is from RNAcentral.